CUUCAGUCUAUAAUCGAACAUCUAGAAUGUAAUUUCAUCUGAGCAGGGACUAUCUAUGGACUACAACGGAGGGCAUCAUUCUAUAAUCGAACAUCUAGAAUGUAAUUUCAUCUGAGCAGGGACUAUCUAUGGACUACAACGGAGGGCUUCAGUCUAUAAUCGAACAUCUAGAAUGUAAUUUCAUCUGAGCAGGGACUAUCUAUGGACUACAACGGAGGGCAUCAGUCUAUAAUCGAACAUCUAGAAUGUCACUUCAUCUGAGCAGGGACUACCU
Molecule: non-coding RNA, 274 nt
Organism: Pelobates cultripes (western spadefoot toad)
Lineage: Eukaryota; Metazoa; Chordata; Amphibia; Anura; Pelobatidae
Source: the annotation of a GenBank genome assembly